This 460-nucleotide ribosomal RNA is filed under the name uncultured bacterium. Its description in RNAcentral is "partial 16S ribosomal RNA". It matches the Rfam family "Bacterial small subunit ribosomal RNA", at positions 338 to 795 of the family's 1533-position model. The record is from RNAcentral.
CCUACGGGAGGCAGCAGUGAGGAAUAUUGGUCAAUGGACGAGAGUCUGAACCAGCCAAGUCGCGUGAAGGAUGACUGCCCUAUGGGUUGUAAACUUCUUUUAUAUGGGAAUAAAAUGUUCCACGUGUGGGCUUUUGUAUGUACCAUAUGAAUAAGGAUCGGCUAACUCCGUGCCAGCAGCCGCGGUAAUACGGAGGAUCCGAGCGUUAUCCGGAUUUAUUGGGUUUAAAGGGAGCGUAGGGGGAUUGUUAAGUCAGUUGUGAAAGUUUGCGGCUCAACCGUAAAAUUGCAGUUGAAACUGGCAGUCUUGAGUACAGUAGAGGUGGGCGGAAUUCGUGGUGUAGCGGUGAAAUGCUUAGAUAUCACGAAGAACUCCGAUUGCGAAGGCAGCUCACUGGACUGCAACUGACACUGAGGCUCGAAAGUGUGGGUAUCAAACAGGAUUAGAUACCCUUGUAGUC